This 433-nucleotide ribosomal RNA is filed under the name uncultured bacterium. RNAcentral's name for it is "partial 16S ribosomal RNA". It matches the Rfam family "Bacterial small subunit ribosomal RNA", at positions 29 to 507 of the family's 1533-position model. The record is from RNAcentral.
AACGAACGCUGGCGGCAUGCCUAACACAUGCAAGUCGAACGAGACCUUCGGGUCUAGUGGCGCACGGAUGCGUAACGCGUGGGAACCUGCCCUUAGGUUCGGAAUAACUCCCCGAAAGGGGUGCUAAUACCGGAUAAUAUCUUCGGACCAAAGAUUUAUCGCCUUUGGAUGGGCCCGCGUUGGAUUAGCUAGUUGGUAGGGUAAAAGCCUACCAAGGCGACGAUCCAUAGCUGGUCUGAGAGGAUGAGCAGCCACACUGGGACUGAGACACGGCCCAGACUCCUACGGGAGGCAGCAGUGGGGAAUAUUGGACAAUGGGCGAAAGCCUGAUCCAGCAAUGCCGCGUGAGUGAUGAAGGCCUUAGGGUUGUAAAGCUCUUUUACCCGGGAUGAUAAUGACAGUACCGGGAGAAUAAGCACCGGCUAACUCCGUG